GGCACGCCUUAUACAUGCAAGUCGAACGAAGUAGCAAUACUUAGUGGCAGACGGGUGAGUAACAUGUAGGUAUCUUCCCUUUGGUGAGGAAUAACACGAGGAAACUUGUGCUAAUACCUCAUAAGUCUUUACGGAGAAAGCUUUAUGCGCCGAAGGAUGAGCCUGCACUUGAUUAGUUUGUUGGUGGGGUAAUGGCCUACCAAGACUUUGAUCUAUAGCUGAUCUGAGAGGAUGAUCAGCCACAUUGGGACUGAGACACGGCCCAAACUCCUACGGGAGGCAGCAGUAGGGAAUAUUGCACAAUGGAGGAAACUCUGAUGCAGCGAUGCCGCGUGAGUGAAGAAGGCCUUUGGGUUGUAAAGCUCUUUCGUCGGGGAAGAAAAUGACUGUACCCGAAUAAGAAGGUCCGGCUAACUUCGUGCCAGCAGCCGCGGUAAUACGAAGGGACCUAGCGUAGUUCGGAAUUACUGGGCUUAAAGAGUUCGUAGGUGGUUAAAAAAGUUGGUGGUGAAAUCCCAGAGCUUAACUCUGGAACUGCCAUCAAAACUUUUUAGCUAGAGUAUGAUAGAGGAAAGCAGAAUUUCUAGUGUAGAGGUGAAAUUCGUAGAUAUUAGAAAGAAUACCAAUUGCGAAGGCAGCUUUCUGGAUCAUUACUGACGCUGAGGAACGAAAGCAUGGGUAGCGAAGAGGAUUAGAUACCCUCGUAGUCCAUGCCGUAAACGAUGUGUGUUAGACGUUGGAAAUUUAUUUUCAGUGUCGCAGCGAAAGCAUUAAACACACCGCCUGGGGAGUACGACCGCAAG
This 803-nucleotide ribosomal RNA is filed under the name uncultured Pelagibacteraceae bacterium. Its description in RNAcentral is "bacterial SSU rRNA". It matches the Rfam family "Bacterial small subunit ribosomal RNA", at positions 41 to 892 of the family's 1533-position model. The record is from RNAcentral. Lineage: Bacteria; Pseudomonadati; Pseudomonadota; Alphaproteobacteria; Candidatus Pelagibacterales; Candidatus Pelagibacteraceae.